GAGGGUGUACCUCAGUGGUAGAGCAUGUGCUUAGCAUGCAUGAGGCCCUGGGUUCAAUCCCCAGUACCUCCA
RNAcentral lists this transfer RNA (72 nucleotides) under Camelus bactrianus (Bactrian camel). It matches the Rfam family "tRNA". Rfam says of the family: Transfer RNA (tRNA) molecules are approximately 80 nucleotides in length. Their secondary structure includes four short double-helical elements and three loops (D, anti-codon, and T loops). Lineage: Eukaryota; Metazoa; Chordata; Mammalia; Artiodactyla; Camelidae. The record is from Rfam by way of RNAcentral. RNAcentral also lists the same sequence under 1 other name.